GACGAACGCUGGCGGCGUGCCUAAUACAUGCAAGUAGAACGCUGAAGGAGGAGCUUGCUUCUCUGGAUGAGUUGCGAACGGGUGAGUAACGCGUAGGUAACCUGCCUGGUAGCGGGGGAUAACUAUUGGAAACGAUAGCUAAUACCGCAUAAUAGUAGAUGUUGCAUGACAUUUGCUUAAAAGGUGCAAUUGCAUCACUACCAGAUGGACCUGCGUUGUAUUAGCUAGUUGGUGGGGUAACGGCUCACCAAGGCGACGAUACAUAGCCGACCUGAGAGGAUGAUCGGCCACACUGGAACUGAGACACGGCCCAGACUCCUACGGAGGGAGCAAUAGGGGAUCUUUGGCAAAGGACGGAAGGCUGGACGAGGAAAGCCGCGUGGGGGAAGAAAGUUCUCGGGUCGGAAAGCUCUGUUGUGAGGGAAGAAAGAGUGUGAGGGUGGAAAGUUCACACUGUGACGGUAUCAUAACAGAAAGGGACGGCUAACUACGUG
This 494-nucleotide ribosomal RNA is filed under the name uncultured bacterium. Its description in RNAcentral is "partial 16S ribosomal RNA". It matches the Rfam family "Bacterial small subunit ribosomal RNA", at positions 28 to 507 of the family's 1533-position model. The record is from RNAcentral.